RNAcentral lists this long non-coding RNA (603 nucleotides) under Mus pahari (shrew mouse). RNAcentral's name for it is "lncRNA (MGP_PahariEiJ_G0006083.1)". Lineage: Eukaryota; Metazoa; Chordata; Mammalia; Rodentia; Muridae. The record is from RNAcentral.
GAAGAAUUGUCAGGGUGAGGCAGGGAGACAGGGCACCAAGCAAUACUUUGGGCUUUUGCUCCCUGGCGUCUAUAUGAGGGCCUAUCACAUCACAGGCCCUGCAUCGUCCUAAGUGCUUUAUAAAGGCUGUCGGACAAUCUGUGACAGGAAGCAGGAGACUGAGAGAAGCAGGAAGGACAUCUGGUGGGAACCAAGUGGCAGAGAAGGGGAGAAGACUGGUCAUUCUGUGGCAUGUGGAGGACAGCCAGGUGGCCGGCUACAGCAGCAAUGGCAACAGACGAAGAAGAGGGUGAGGACCACCACCAGGGGUAACCCCAGGAGCACAGUCAGGCAGACGGUGUUGAAGACGCCUCUUUCGUGCCUGAUCCGGAUGGUUUCCCAGACAGAGUCGAAGAAAGAACUGUUUCUCUCCAUGGUGCUGGCCUAGUGUGGGGCCAGAGGAUCCUUAAUUAUCUAACAAGCCAUCUUCACAGAACACAGUGUUAGACACUUGGAAUUUAUGUUUCUUUCAGCUUCACGUUUGGGCAUGCCACCAGGAGUACCUGAAGAAGGUAAAAUGGACAAUUCAAGAGAACUGCAGUAGCGAUGGUCUAUCUAUUUUCA